RNAcentral lists this ribosomal RNA (192 nucleotides) under Escherichia coli. RNAcentral describes it as "partial 23S ribosomal RNA". It matches the Rfam family "Bacterial large subunit ribosomal RNA", at positions 1 to 184 of the family's 2925-position model. Lineage: Bacteria; Pseudomonadati; Pseudomonadota; Gammaproteobacteria; Enterobacterales; Enterobacteriaceae. The record is from RNAcentral.
GGGUUGUGAGGUUAAGCGACUAAGCGUACACGGUGGAUGCCCUGGCAGUCAGAGGCGAUGAAGGACGUGCUAAUCUGCGAUAAGCGUCGGUAAGGUGAUAUGAACCGUUAUAACCGGCGAUUUCCGAAUGGGGAAACCCAGUGUGAUUCGUCACACUAUCAUUAACUGAAUCCAUAGGUUAAUGAGGCGAAC